Molecule: non-coding RNA, 2703 nt
Organism: Peromyscus maniculatus bairdii (prairie deer mouse)
Lineage: Eukaryota; Metazoa; Chordata; Mammalia; Rodentia; Cricetidae
Source: RefSeq, a predicted model, not a curated record
AGCCAGCGUACCUGCAUUAUAAAACACUGUUGGAUUAGAAAAUAGUGACUUAUCAAAAAGAAGUCGUCAACACCAUGGUAACGAACCUCUGUGGAAAGCCUGCUGCUCAAAAUGCUGGAUUCUGUGAGUGAGGAAAAGUGAGGAUUACAUUAAUACAAACAAUACGAAUGGAAUUGAUUCUGAAAGGCUAUCUCAUUCAAGGACAAAGAUGCAGCUCUUGAAGAAGGCUGACAUAUGGGAAGUGUGAACGUGAGAUCACAAGCUGCCAACAACCUUUAAUCAUCAUUAUUCACAGUUUAGCCUUCUAGGAGCUUGGUUGGGUUGUGAUUGGCUUGCUCAAGUACAAGAAAAUUUAACUUCUAUGUUCUCAAUUUAGGAACAAAGGCAGUAUUCACUUGGUACCAGUGAAGAGCAGACAGAAGAAGAAAGGGGGAAAUGCUUUGCUAUCAGGAGGAUAGUAGAAAGAACAUGAGCUGGCAGCUGGCUAGAAAGUAUGAAGAGAAUUGAUCCUCCAACUUUUGUAGAAAAGAUGACUUGGAUGAGAUGUUGAAGAAGGAGCAGGGGUCACACAUCCAGAGAACCCUGUGCCAUUAGCAUAAGUAUGUGAAGUGAACUAGACACAUUUCAAUGGAUGCUCAAUUGCUUUUGUUCCUGGGAUCAAACAUGUUGGGAAAUACUCAUCUGGAACUUGCUGCCAUGCCCUGACUGCCAGUUUCUUAAAGGAUAUGCUGAUCUGGAUUUGUUUUCUAUGGUUUGAACUUUUGAGGCACCCUUAGACAGUGCCAGUCAUUGACCAUGCUAAGUGCACAUAUGCUUAAUAUUUUCCUUGCAUGCCUAAUGAUAAAUAUACAAUCAGAAUGGUUAAAAAGGCAACUCUAUGUCUAUUUUACUACAUUAAUAUGAGGGGGUACAUAAAGAAGAACAUGAACUUAUAAAUUGCAAAAGUUGUGGUGUUAUAAUUGUACACAAAAUAAUAAAUAAUAUUUUAUCAGUACAAGAAAAAUAACCAGGAGCUAAAUGUUUCCUAAAAUCUAAAAAGGAAAUGUAAUAAUGAGAAUAUUUAUAUAGGACUAAGUAAAAAGCCAGGACAUAGUCUUUGACUUGUUCACUGGCAUCUUCUCAGCACUUAACAUAAUAUAUGAUGCACAGUCUGUAGUCAAGAAAUAUUUUUGAAUGGGUGGUAAGAUUCUUUCCACUCUGGAAAGUUCGACCUGUUUGCUUCCUCUGGUGAAUUGCGUAGCAUAAUCUUAGAACAUAAGGGAAUUAAACUAGUGCAAUAUAAAACUCUUGGUUAAUAGCAGAUGAAAAUUAGGUCAGCUGUGGCAUGUAACAGACAUAUCUAGGCCUUUAAAAGUUAUAAACAUUUAAAAAAUAAUUUAUAUACUUCCAUUUCCCUACAGGGGUGACUCAUGAAAUUGCUAAUUUUUAUACAUUAAAAAUGGAUGGCUUCAUAAGGUUAGAUCUUAGCAUAUAAAUUCUUAGCUAGUGCUGACCUCCAGUUUCAAGUGAUGGAAACAUUGAAACUCGGAGAAAAUGUGCUUUGGUGUUCAUUAAGAGGGCUCUUCUUUGCUUCUAAAUGCCAGAGAACUAAAGUGAUCUCAGAAAUCAGAACAAAUAUUACAGCACCUUCAUUAAAACACAGGAAGCUGACACAUUUACUACUGGCUUUUAUGGUUAAUCACAAAUCUCCUACCAGAGGCUGUGGAAUGACCAUCUGAAUAUAUUGUAAGAAGACUUAAUGGCCUUAAAUAUUGAUUACCUUAACACACAGCGGUCUCUUCCAUUUCUGACAUUGAAACAGCACUCCCAAUUACUGUGGUUAAAAAUAUAAUAAUAAAAUAGAUCUAUAAUUUGUUUAAAAUAUAUCACUUACUACUUGAAUAAUUUUAAAUGCCUAGAUGACUAUAAUCACUUGAAUAGGUCCAAGAGCCAUCUCAGAGACCAUGGACAAAGUCCAACAUAGAAAGUGAGAGUCGGCUUCUGUAACCAACCCCAUCUUUAGCUGCCUAUGAUACAGCCACAAAAGUGACCUCAGGGGCAGGGAAAACCAAAACUAACCAAAUAACCUUCAAAGCUGAAAGCAUAUAGGGGAGAACCAGAGAAUUACAGACGGUUAGAACUUAUCUAGUGUUCUCCUGAGGAACAGAGCUGAUAGGAAGACUAGAAUUAAAGGGGGAUUUAUUAGCUCGCUUACAGGAUGUAGUCUGGCUAGUCCAACCAUGGAGUAGCUAGACUCACCCCUGAGAGACCAAGAAUCUGCAAGUUUCUCAGUCCAUGAGGCUGGAUGUCUUGGCAGUCUCAAUCUGGUGCUGAAGACUGGAAUUUUCUUGGAAGCUGCUGGCCUUCAGCCUAAAUUGGGAGACCAGGGAAUCUGGUCCCGCUAUGGCUGAAGAUAUGCAACAGUGCUAGCAACAGAACAGAUGAGCUUGCCAGUGAGAGUGAAGAAGUCAAAUACUUGUCUUUUAGAUGAUUCCAGAUCCGGUCAAGUUGAGAUCCGAGAUGUAGCCAUCAUACUUCUCUACUUGCUUAUUAGUAGUGUUCUCACUUCUUCCCCCCCUCCCCCAAUCUCUGCUUAUCAGGGGAGGAUUGAAGCUGAGAUUACAGGGCAGUUGUGGUGGUAUUUUGUUCCCCAAAAUAUUGUGCACCCUAAUGAACUUAUCUAGGGUCAGAGAACAGAACAGCCACUAGAUACAGAGGCCAGAA